AGCGAACGCUGGCGGCAGGCUUAACACAUGCAAGUCGAGCGCCUGUAGCAAUACAGGAGCGGCAGACGGGAGAGUAACACGUGGGAACGUACCCUUCAGUUCGGAACAACCAAGGGAAACUUUGGCUAAUACCGAAUACGUCCGUAAGGAGAAAGAUUUAUUCGCUGAAGGAUCGCCCGCCGUCUGAUUAGCUAGUUGGUGGGGUAAGUGGCUCACCAAGGCGACGAUCAGUAGCUGGUCUGAGAGGAUGAUCAGCCUCAUUGGGACUGAGACACGGCCCAAACUCCUACGGGAGGCAGCAGUGGGGAAUAUUGGACAAUGGGCGCAAGCCUGAUCCAGCCAUGCCGCGUGGAUGAUGAAGGCCCUAGGG
Molecule: ribosomal RNA, 370 nt
Filed under: uncultured bacterium
Lineage: Bacteria
Description: bacterial SSU rRNA
Rfam family: Bacterial small subunit ribosomal RNA
Source: RNAcentral